CAGCAGCCGCGGUAAUACGUAGGGGGCAAGCGUUAUCCGGAUUUACUGGGUGUAAAGGGAGCGUAGACGGAAUAGCAAGUCUGGAGUGAAAUGUAGGGGCUUAACCCCUGAACUGCUUUGGAAACUGUUGAUCUUGUGUACCGGAGGGGCAGGCGGAAUUCCUGGUGUAGCGGUGAAAUGCGUAGAUAUCAGGAAGAACACCGGUGGCGAAGGCGGCCUGCUGGACGGUAACUGACGUUGAGGCUCGAAAGCGUGGGGAGCAAACAGGAUUAGAUACCCUGGUAGUGCACGCCGUAAACGAUGAAUACUAAGUGUCGGCAUCCGAAGGGUGUCGGUGCUGCCGUUAACACAGUAAGUAUUCCACCUGGGGAGUACGUACGCAAGUAUGAAACUCAAAGAAAUUGACGG
Molecule: ribosomal RNA, 408 nt
Filed under: uncultured rumen bacterium
Lineage: Bacteria
Description: bacterial SSU rRNA
Rfam family: Bacterial small subunit ribosomal RNA
Source: RNAcentral